UAAUCUUCCCAUCAGGCCUGACAGACAGGUUCUCACUGCCAGCCAGCCAGCCAGCCAGUGGCUGCUGCUUAAUUCCAGGCAGGUGUUUCUCCUCCCGGCUCUGGGGUGCCUCCUGUGGCUCGUUGUGAAGACAUCACGCCUCUGCCUCUUCUUGGCCUUCUGGGAUGGCACCAGAGCAUAGGACGAGCACCGCCAAGAUGUCAAUCAUUUAUUUCAGCAUUUUGUUAUACACAAACAUGAAAUGCAGCAGUGAAACACAUCAUUGAUUAUUUGGACAUGCUCAAAACAAACAAACAAACAAACAAACACUAGGAAUAAUCCAGACAGGCUCAACUGAGUGUUGAGUAACAGCAGGCACUUUUAUUCACACAACUCCGGGGGAAGGUGAGCACGUUCUCAGAUCAAAGUUCCAAAGCGCAGAGGGUUGAGCCGCCUCUUAAACCAUCCUCAUUUCGUAUAAUUUGCGUAGAGUCACAUUGUCAUCGUGGCCUAGGUGGUACACACAGGUCUCAAACUCAUGAGUUCAACCACACACACACAAAUAACGUGCUCAGAAAUCAGACUUGACAGGAAAACACCUUUUUUGACCACAAUAUCUGAAGCACUUCCAUAGUUUAGGCCUCCGCACGUUACAGUUUAUCACAUAACACAUUAACAGUUUUAUUGAAGUAUUAUCAAUUUCCUACACUCACUUCCUCACUCUGAUUCUUCUCAAUCUGUUCACUCGGUGGGCUGGCGUGGAUUAGACAUUGGCUCGUUUUUUGGGGCAGGUUGUGUGUUAUGUGGUGAUUUGCACACCUUGUGUCGAUGUUUGCUUUUCUCUGAAUCUCAGUACUCCUGGACACACCCUGUGUCGAUGUUUGCUGUUCUCUGAAUCUCUGUACUCCUGGACAUUUUUGGUAUGGCGUGUUGCGUUGGCCAGAGGCCCCGGCGUGGUUGGUUCUCGGCUUGACAGCCUGGGUUACAGUCUCUCGGUUCCUCUCUGCGGAGUUCUGGCAUGCUGCUUCAGCCUGGCUGGGAUGCUGGGGAGCUGAACAUUCUGUUUCCUUUCCCCUUCACAUGGCCACACCUAAGAGGGAGAGAAAGAGAAGAGAGAGAGAGAGAAAUAAAAGUGAGAGGUAGAGGAGGAAAGGAAGAUAUGACCAAGGAGAAGAACAGAGGGGAUAGAGAGAGAGAGAGAGAGAGAGCAAGAGUCAAAAGAGUCAUCCUUGAAAAGGAUGGGGAAGUGUCUG
This is a long non-coding RNA of Clupea harengus (Atlantic herring), 1232 nucleotides long. The record is from Ensembl. NCBI's taxonomy places the organism in Eukaryota, Metazoa, Chordata, Actinopteri, Clupeiformes, Clupeidae.